Molecule: ribosomal RNA, 972 nt
Filed under: Stropharia rugosoannulata
Lineage: Eukaryota; Fungi; Basidiomycota; Agaricomycetes; Agaricales; Strophariaceae
Description: LSU rRNA
Rfam family: Eukaryotic large subunit ribosomal RNA
Source: RNAcentral
GACCUCAAAUCAGGUAGGACUACCCGCUGAACUUAAGCAUAUCAAUAAGCGGAGGAAAAGAAACUAACAAGGAUUCCCCUAGUAACUGCGAGUGAAGCGGGAAAAGCUCAAAUUUAAAAUCUGGCAGUCUUUGAUUGUCCGAGUUGUAAUCUAGAGAAGUGUUAUCCGCGCUGGACCGUGUACAAGUCUCCUGGAAUGGAGCGUCAUAGAGGGUGAGAAUCCCGUCUUUGACACGGACUGCCAGUGCUUUGUGAUGCGCUCUCAAAGAGUCGAGUUGUUUGGGAAUGCAGCUCAAAAUGGGUGGUAAAUUCCAUCUAAAGCUAAAUAUUGGCGAGAGACCGAUAGCGAACAAGUACCGUGAGGGAAAGAUGAAAAGAACUUUGGAAAGAGAGUUAAACAGUACGUGAAAUUGCUGAAAGGGAAACGCUUGAAGUCAGUCACAUUGUGUGAGAAUCAACCUUGCUUUUGCUGGGCGUACUUCUCAGAUGAUGGGUCAGCAUCAAUUUUGAUCGUUGGAUAAAGUCUAAAGGAAUGUGGCAUCUUCGGAUGUGUUAUAGCCUUUGGUUGUAUACAACGGUUGGGAUUGAGGAAGUCAGCACGCCGCAAGGCCGGGUACUUGUACCACGUUCGUGCUUAGGAUGCUGGCAUAAUGGCUUUAAUCGACCCGUCUUGAAACACGGACCAAGGAGUCUAACAUGCCUGCGAGUAUUUGGGUGGAAAACCCGAGUGCGUAAUGAAAGUGAAAGUUGAGAUCCCUGUCAUGGGGAGCAUCGACGCCCGGACCAGACCUUUUGUGACGGAUCUGCGGUAGAGCAUGUAUGUUGGGACCCGAAAGAUGGUGAACUAUGCCUGAAUAGGGUGAAGCCAGAGGAAACUCUGGUGGAGGCUCGUAGCGAUUCUGACGUGCAAAUCGAUCGUCAAAUUUGGGUAUAGGGGCGAAAGACUAAUCGAACCAUCUAGUAGCUGGUUCCU